Molecule: ribosomal RNA, 1724 nt
Filed under: Howardula dominicki
Lineage: Eukaryota; Metazoa; Nematoda; Chromadorea; Rhabditida; Allantonematidae
Description: SSU rRNA
Rfam family: Eukaryotic small subunit ribosomal RNA
Source: RNAcentral
GAAACCGCGAACGGCUCAUUAAAUCAGCUAUGAUCUACUUGAUUUUGACGCUAAUUCUACUUGGAUAAGCUGUGGUAAUUCUAGAGCUAAUACAUGCACAAAAGCUUUGACCUCGACGGAAAAAGCGCAUUUAUUAGAGCAAAACCAGGCGGCUUCGGUCGUUUUUUGCUGACUCAGAAUAACUCAGCUGAUCGCACGGUCUCGUACCGGCGACGUGUCUUUUGAGUAUCUGCCUUAUCAAUUUUCGAUGGUAGUGUAUCUGACUACCAUGGUUUUGACGGGUAACGGAGAAUAAGGGUUCGACUCCGGAGAAGGGGCCUGAGAAAUGGCCACUACGUCUAAGGAUGGCAGCAGGCGCGCAAAUUACCCACUCUCGGAAUGAGGAGGUAGUGACGAGAAAUAACGAGACCGUUCUCUUUGAGGCCGGUUAUCGGAAUGGGUACAUGUAAACGCUUUAACGAGUAUCUAUGAGAGGGCAAGUCUGGCGCCCAGCAGCCGCNNNNNNNNNNNNNNNNNNNNNNNNNNNNNNUUGUUGCGGUUAAAAAGCUCGUAGUUGAAUCUAGGCCUGAGGCCUGGUCCACUCAUUGAGUGCGUACUAGGCUCUUUGGCUUUUUCGUCGGUUUUCUUGUCGUGGCCUUUGUUGGUGGCGGCAAGUGGCUGGCAAUUUUACUUUGAACAAAUCAGAGUGCUUAAAACAGGCGUUUCGCUUGUAUGCUUUUGCAUGGAAUAAUAGAAUAUGACUUCGGUUUAGUUUUAUUGGUUUUAUAGAUCGUUGUAAUGAUUAAAAGAGACAAACGGGGGCAUUCGUAUUGUUGCGUGAGAGGUGAAAUUCGUGGACCGCAGCAAGACGACCAACAGCGAAAGCAUUUGCCAAGCUUGUCUUCAUUAAUCAAGAACGAAAGUCAGAGGAUCGAAGGUGAUCAGAUACCGCCCUAGUUCUGACCGUAAACGAUGCCAACUAGCGAUUCGCCGGCGGAUUUGUUGCCCUGGCGAGGAGCUUCCCGGAAACGAAAGUCUUCCGGUUCCGGGGGAAGUAUGGUUGCAAAGCUGAAACUUAAAGGAAUUGACGGAAGGGCACCACCAGGAGUGGAGCCUGCGGCUUAAUUUGACUCAACACGGGAAAACUCACCCGGCCCGGACACCAUGAGGAUUGACAGAUUGAUAGCUCUUUCAUGAUUUGGUGGAUGGUGGUGCAUGGCCGUUCUUAGUUCGUGGAGUGAUUUGUCUGGUUUAUUCCGAUAACGAGCGAGACUCUAGCCUACUAAAUAGUCCGCGCAUUGCUCUUGUGCUGCGGUACUUCCUAGAGGAAUUUUCGGUGUUUAACCGCAUGAAAUUGAGCAAUAACAGGUCUGUGAUGCCCUUAGAUGUCCGGGGCUGCACGCGCGCUACACUGGUAAAGUCAGCGUGCAUUUCCUUUCUCGAAAGAGAUUGGUAAACCGGUGAACGUUUGCCGUGAUAGGGAUCGGAAAUUGCAAUUAUUUUCUGUGAACGAGGAAUUCCAAGUAAAUGUGAGUCAUCAACUCGCGUUGAUUACGUCCCUGCCCUUUGUACACACCGCCCGUCGCUGCCCGGGACUGAGCCAUUUCGAGAAAACUGGGGAUUACUGAUUGAUGGUCUUUCGGGAUUGUCUUUCGGUGAAAAUCAGUUUAAUCGUAGUGGCUUGAACCGGGCAAAAGUCGUAACAAGGUGGCUGUAGGUGAACCUGCUGCCGGAUCAUUAUCGAU